This 1296-nucleotide long non-coding RNA is filed under the name Salvia miltiorrhiza (redroot sage). RNAcentral's name for it is "long non-coding RNA (SMIL_LNC012943)". The record is from RNAcentral. Lineage: Eukaryota; Viridiplantae; Streptophyta; Magnoliopsida; Lamiales; Lamiaceae.
UAAUUAAGUUUCAUUUAUCAUAUUAUAUUUCGUUUAUUUUGACGUAAUAAAAAAUUCGGAUAGGUAAUACUCCCUCCGUCCCGGUCAAGGCGCUACAUUUGCUUUUCGGCACGGGAUUUAAGGAGUUGUAGAUUAAUGUUUUAAGUGUGUAAUAAUAAAGUGAUAAAGUAGGAGAGAGAAAGUAAUAAAGUGAUAAAGUAAGAAAGAGAAGGUAAUAAAGUGAUAAAGUAGGAGAGAGAAUGUAAUAAAAAAAUACUUAAUUAGUGUUAAUUAAGUGUUUAAGAUUUCCUAUUUUUGCCAAAUAUAGAAAUGUAGCAUCUUCGUUGGGACGAUCCAAAAAGGAAUAUAUAGCAUCUUGGGCGGGACGGAGGGAGUAUAAAUUUUUGAAUAGUAUUUUCUCUCUUGGAAAAUACUAUAUAAUUUUAUACCUAAGAAAAUAUAAUUCAAGGAGUAUAAUUUUAUAACACCUUAUGAGAAGUGGAUAAACAUAUUAUCAUUCAAAUCAAAUAAUAUAUAUAAAAAAAAUGUGAUCUCCAUUUUAACUGAUACAUUUAUACCUUAUUAUAUUGUUGCUCAAGUUAAAGAGAUAAAAAAGCGAACAAUAUUAUAUACUUAUACUUGAUGAAGGUUUAUUUAAAGAUUAAAUUCACCAAAAGUUAAUUGUGAUGUACUGAUCAUGUGGUCAUUAUUUAUUCAAUUUUAGCUUUACGAAAUAAGAUGAUCGUUUUCCUUUAAUUGUGAUGUGGUCAUUAUUUAUUCAAUUGUGAUCGUUUUAAAUUAUAGGGACGAAGAUAUGUUGAAUGAAGACGCUAUAGAUAUUAUACUAUCUUUUUGCUCUCUUUACGAUUUGUUAUCUUUAAUUAUUAAAUUUAUCAUGAAAAAAAUAAAGGGGGUUAAUUGCUUGUAAAUUCACGAACUUUAGCAAAAAUUUAUUUUUAACACGUUUUUUCAAAAUUCCAAUUUAAUACACCAACUUUAACUCGUUGUUCAAUUUUAACAACGAUCAAAUCUCUGGCGAAUUAGAAACACACGUGGCUAUGAUGUGGCUUCUAGUUUCGGAGUCCAGAUCUGGUGUGCCUCUCGCUUCAUACAUGAGCCACAGAGCACCCAAAUCCUUCGCUACUUCCGCUAGGCCGCCACGCCGGAUGAGGGUUUUCAGGGAGGGCGCACAGGAUGAAGGAGAGAAGGGUUUGAAGAGGAACAUAGGAGAAGAAGAAUUUAAGAGAGGGAGAGGAAGGGCCGCAGGGCCGCGGAGGAAGAAAGAAGGCUGCACGCCUAGAUCUGCAAAUCGUGGAG